GAUGAAGAACGCAGCGAAAUGCGAUAAGUAAUGUGAAUUGCAGAAUUCAGUGAAUCAUCGAAUCUUUGAACGCACCUUGCGCCCUUUGGCCAUUCCGAAGGGCAUGCCUGUUUGAGUAUCAUGAACACCUCAACUCUUUAUGGUUUUCCAUGAUGAGCUUGGACUUUGGGGGUUUUGCUGGCCUAUGGUCGGCUCCUCUAAAAUAAAUCAGCUUACCAGUGUUUGGUGGGUAUCAUGGGUGUGAUAACUAUCUACGCUUGUGGUUUUCCGCCAGGUAACCUUCGACAGCGGAGGUUCACUGGAGCUCAUAGAUGUCUCUCCUCAGCGAGGACAGCCCUUUGAAUGUUUGAUCUCAAAUCAGGUAGGACUACCCGCUGAACUUAAGCAUAUCAAUAAGCGGAGGA
This 404-nucleotide unclassified non-coding RNA is filed under the name soil metagenome. RNAcentral describes it as "partial contains 5.8S ribosomal RNA, internal transcribed spacer 2, and large subunit ribosomal RNA". The stretch from base 1 to 121 matches the Rfam family "5.8S ribosomal RNA", at positions 35 to 154 of the family's 154-position model. The record is from RNAcentral.